UGAAUAUACCGGUUCUCGUUUCACCGAAGUCAAGCAUCAUUGGGCGCGGUCAGUACUUGGGUGGGUGACCACCUGGGAACACUGCGUGCCGUU
Molecule: ribosomal RNA, 93 nt
Filed under: Caerostris darwini
Lineage: Eukaryota; Metazoa; Arthropoda; Arachnida; Araneae; Araneidae
Source: RNAcentral